GAUGAACGCUCGCUACAGGCUUAACACAUGCAAGUCGCGGGGCAGCAUGGGGGUUGCUUGCAAUCCCCGAUGGCGACCGGCGCACGGGUGAGUAACGCGUAUCCAACCUGCCCUUCACCACGGGAUAACCCGGCGAAAGUCGGACUAAUACCGUAUGUUGUCCAUUGACGGCAUCCGAUUUGGACGAAAGGCUUGGCGGUGAGGGAUGGGGAUGCGUCCGAUUAGCCAGACGGCGGGGUAACGGCCCACCGUGGCUACGAUCGGUAGGGGUUCUGAGAGGAAGGUCCCCCACACUGGAACUGAGACACGGUCCAGACUCCUACGGGAGGCAGCAGUGAGGAAUAUUGGGCAAUGGGCGUAAGCCUGAACCAGCCAAGUAGCGUGCAGGAUGACGGCCCUAUGGGUUGUAAACUGCUUUUAUGCGGGGAUAAAGUGGCCCACGUGUGGGCUUUUGCAGGUACCGCAUGAAUAAGGACCGGCUAAUUCCGUG
RNAcentral lists this ribosomal RNA (490 nucleotides) under uncultured bacterium. RNAcentral's name for it is "partial 16S ribosomal RNA". It matches the Rfam family "Bacterial small subunit ribosomal RNA", at positions 28 to 507 of the family's 1533-position model. The record is from RNAcentral.